This 465-nucleotide ribosomal RNA is filed under the name uncultured bacterium. RNAcentral's name for it is "partial 16S ribosomal RNA". It matches the Rfam family "Bacterial small subunit ribosomal RNA", at positions 28 to 507 of the family's 1533-position model. The record is from RNAcentral.
GACGAACGCUGGCGGCGUGCUUAACACAUGCAAGUCGAACGGAAAGGCCCCUUUGGGGGUACUCGAGUGGCGAACGGGUGAGUAACACGUGAGUAACCUGCCCUUGACUUCGGGAUAACUUCAGGAAACUGGGGCUAAUACCGGAUAGGAAUCCUUGCUGCAUGGUGGGGGUUGGAAAGCUUCGGCGGUUUUGGAUGGACUCGCGGCGUAUCAGCUUGUUGGUGGGGUAGGGGCUUACCAAGGCAUUGACGGGUAGCCGGCCUGAGAGGGCGACCGGCCACAUUGGGACCGAGAUACGGCCCAGACUCCUACGGGGGGCCGCAGUGGGGAAUAUUGCACAAUGGGCGGAAGCCUGAUGCAGCAACGCCGCGUGCGGGAUGACGGCCUUCGGGUUGUAAACCGCUUUCAGCAGGGGCGAAGCUUGUGGUGACGGUACCUGCAGAAGAAGCACCGGCUAACUACGUG